RNAcentral lists this long non-coding RNA (1263 nucleotides) under Equus caballus (horse). RNAcentral describes it as "lncRNA (ENSECAG00000044406.1)". Lineage: Eukaryota; Metazoa; Chordata; Mammalia; Perissodactyla; Equidae. The record is from RNAcentral.
CUCAAAUGUUGAUAAAAUAGAUGAUUGCCUAUAAGAUGAGACUUGAGAAGAGGUAAAAAUGAUUCCUCUUGCCUCUAAAACAUCUCCUUUGCCAAUCUGCCAGGAGCAGCAUUAGAGGUGCUGGGGUUCUAUUUUGCACACUGGUGAACCAGAAGUGACCCAAAUCAUCUGAAGGUCCUUAAUUCCAUGAAUAAAACUAUAUUCAGAAGGUGAUUAUCGUGUAAAGGAGAGGUGCAUUAUCUUUGGGGAACAAGUGACCAUGGAAACAGUGAGUGCAGGAAAUAGUAGAGCUUUGCAUUUGGGUCCUUCAGGAGGCUUUGCAGUGGAAUCACCCUGCAGCUCGGAAAAGUGGGAGCAACGUGCUGUGAUGCCACCUCUUGGCUAAUGAAUGUGGACUGUGAGGUGACAGAGGGAACCCUGAUCAUCUGACACUGACUCUUGGUACAGAACCACUGUGGAAGUCAUCCAGGAGAAAAGCAAACAACUAGUGUGCUGUAUGGUGAAGAUUUUCUGUGUUUAGUGACCGAACUCUUAUUGCCUUUGGAGAAUGAAAUCCACACUUUUUGCUUUUUGGAGUGGUUGACUUGAAUGAUAAUCAACAUGGGGGAGAGAUGGGAUUACUUUCUAAAUGGAGUAAGGGGUAAGCAAGGGUAAGCAUCUUGGACAAAAUGGCGGCAAGUAUGAAAUGACAAAAGCGCUUGUCUCCAGCAUCUGGCUAAGCAGUCUUUUGCCAAGACCCUCACCUUUGGCCUGGAUAGAGGCUCUCUAGCUGGGUCAGAGCAAAGAGCAGCAUCCUGACCAUUCAUUCCAUGGUCUCCUGGCUGACCAAGGGGGGCCAAUUAGGUCCUAUUGUGAUAGAAGUGGGAGGGAAAGUUUCCUCCAUUCCGAUGACCCUUGGAGUGACUCCAUCAGUCUUAAAGGCCAUAGGGGUGGAGGAUGGGGCGCUAUUCUCUACCUCAUUGGGCCAUAGCCAGCCCUGUGUGAGUAAUUGGUUCUGUUCCUUAGCCUGAGGUCCUUCAGAUCUAUGGGAUUGACACUGCCUUCGUGCCUCCCCCAAACAGAAAUUUGCUCAGUUUGUCAUUUCAGAAGAUGGCUGUUUGGGGAUGGGAGGAAGAAAAAUAAAAUAUAAACACUAGUUAUUGGUCCUAUGUCCGUUUUGUUUUAGAAGUAGCAUUUAUAUUGGUAAAGGGUGGCAAAUGUCAGCCCCGUCACCCACCACCCACUUCCCAGUGCCUGCCUUUUUCUCACUGUGGGGUACAAUGA